UGGCGACGCCGGCGAGUAUUGCGUAGGC
Molecule: small RNA, 28 nt
Filed under: Bombyx mori (domestic silkworm)
Lineage: Eukaryota; Metazoa; Arthropoda; Insecta; Lepidoptera; Bombycidae
Description: ovarian small RNA-34859
Source: RNAcentral